GAAACCGGAGCUAAUACCGGAUAAUAUUUGAACCGCAUGGUUACAAAGCGAAAGACGGUCUUGCUGUCACUUAUAGAUGGAUCUGCGCUGCAUUAGCUAGUUGGUAAGGUAACGGCUUACCAAGGCAACGAUGCAUAGCCGACCUGAGAGGGUGAUCGGCCACACUGGAACUGAGGCACGGUCCAG
This 186-nucleotide ribosomal RNA is filed under the name uncultured Staphylococcus sp. RNAcentral's name for it is "partial 16S ribosomal RNA". It matches the Rfam family "Bacterial small subunit ribosomal RNA", at positions 153 to 334 of the family's 1533-position model. The record is from RNAcentral. Lineage: Bacteria; Bacillati; Bacillota; Bacilli; Caryophanales; Staphylococcaceae.